Molecule: ribosomal RNA, 656 nt
Filed under: Limosilactobacillus ingluviei
Lineage: Bacteria; Bacillati; Bacillota; Bacilli; Lactobacillales; Lactobacillaceae
Description: bacterial SSU rRNA
Rfam family: Bacterial small subunit ribosomal RNA
Source: RNAcentral
UGUGCCUAAUACAUGCAAGUCGAACGCGUUGGCCCAAUUGAUUGAUGGUGCUUGCACCUGAUUGAUUUUGGUCGCCAACGAGUGGCGGACGGGUGAGUAACACGUAGGUAACCUGCCCAGAAGCGGGGGACAACAUUUGGAAACAGAUGCUAAUACCGCAUAACAGCGUUGUUCGCAUGAACAACGCUUAAAAGAUGGCUUCUCGCUAUCACUUCUGGAUGGACCUGCGGUGCAUUAGCUUGUUGGUGGGGUAACGGCCUACCAAGGCGAUGAUGCAUAGCCGAGUUGAGAGACUGAUCGGCCACAAUGGGACUGAGACACGGCCCAUACUCCUACGGGAGGCAGCAGUAGGGAAUCUUCCACAAUGGGCGCAAGCCUGAUGGAGCAACACCGCGUGAGUGAAGAAGGGUUUCGGCUCGUAAAGCUCUGUUGUUAAAGAAGAACACGUAUGAGAGUAACUGUUCAUACGUUGACGGUAUUUAACCAGAAAGUCACGGCUAACUACGUGCCAGCAGCCGCGGUAAUACGUAGGUGGCAAGCGUUAUCCGGAUUUAUUGGGCGUAAAGAGAGUGCAGGCGGUUUUCUAAGUCUGAUGUGAAAGCCUUCGGCUUAACCGGAGAAGUGCAUCGGAAACUGGAUAACUUGAGUGCAGAAGA